AUUCUUUUCUGGUUCAUAAGCAUGAUGAUUGUGUGUUCAUACAUCUGUGUGGUGUGGCAUGUCCCUCUCUUAAAUCUUGUUAGGACAUCAGGACAUUACCCGUCUGAUA
This is a small nucleolar RNA of Sorex araneus (European shrew), 109 nucleotides long. NCBI's taxonomy places the organism in Eukaryota, Metazoa, Chordata, Mammalia, Eulipotyphla, Soricidae. The record is from Ensembl.